UGCCCACUCGUCUAAGGGCAGGACGACUGUCUCUGGAACAGUUAAUCGUGGUUCGAAUCCACGGUGGGCAGCCA
This 74-nucleotide transfer RNA is filed under the name bacterium. RNAcentral's name for it is "tRNA-Gln". It matches the Rfam family "tRNA". From Rfam's summary of the family: Transfer RNA (tRNA) molecules are approximately 80 nucleotides in length. Their secondary structure includes four short double-helical elements and three loops (D, anti-codon, and T loops). The record is from RNAcentral.